This 1000-nucleotide long non-coding RNA is filed under the name Monodelphis domestica (gray short-tailed opossum). RNAcentral describes it as "lncRNA (ENSMODG00000050403.1)". The record is from RNAcentral. Lineage: Eukaryota; Metazoa; Chordata; Mammalia; Didelphimorphia; Didelphidae.
UAAUGGUCCAUAUCUGCCAAAGUAAACUAAUCAAUUUACUUCAAUGAGCAUUUGUUAAGAGCUGGCACAGUGAUUAGAGAGCAGGCCCAGGAGUUAGGAGGACCUCAGUCUAAGUUCUGUCUCUGACACGUACUGGUUAUAUGACAAUUCUUAGCUUUCCAGGAAACCCUCUGAGGUUGUAAUUUGUGGAACUUUGUUGUUGUUCAAUCAUUUUCAGUCGUGUUCGACUCUUUGUGACCUAUCUGGAAUUUUCUUGGCAAAGACACUGCAAUGGUUUUCCCUUUCCUUCUCCAUUUCAUUUUACAGAUGAGGAGACUAAGGCAGAGUUAAAUGACUUGCCCAGUGGCACAACUAGUAAAUGUCAGAGGCCAGAUUUGAACUAAGGAAGAUGAGGCUUCCUAAUUCUAAACCCAGUACUCAAUCCACUGUGCCACCUAGCUGUAAAAUUUUGCUAAUCUGAAUCAACAUGGAGAAUUUUCUUUUCUGAAAUUACAGUUAUUUUCAUUUUUCCCUAAAUUCAAUUUCCUGAAAUUCCAGAAAGUCACAGAUUUAUCUGCCAUCUCCCCAAAAUGCCAGAUGUGAGAACUUCAACAUAAAAUGAAAAAGUAUAAGCCCUUAAAGAGAAUCCCCAACAUCCCCCUGGGAUCUUGAAGAAGGAUGAAAAUUUCUUAUCUUUUGGACUUUUCUAUUUUUCUAUGGAGAGAUCGCUAAAGACAGAUCACAUGGCUCUUCUCUUCCCCAGUAAAUAUGCCCAAUUUCUUCAACCCAGAGAAGGAAGUAAACAAGGAAAAAAGAAGGGAUGGUUUCAUCUGAAAGGAGGUGAAGAGUUUCAGGAAAUGAUGGCAUUGUGAAGAAAGACAAAAGGCAUCAAUUAGUUCUGUUAAAAAAUUAAACAAGUGGUCUAAAUUGGAUGACAUCCAAGUUUUAAAUCUAAUGAGAAUCCUUUGAGUAGCUAUAGCCACAGAGUAAUAAAAUGAAGUGAAGGAAGGACCUAGAUUCA